AUGGAGGUCAACGCUGAUGACUUCUUCAAGGCAGCCAACCUCGACAAGCCUAGGGUGACCAACAAGGUUGGAUCCAACGUCACUUUGAUCAACGUCAUGCAGAUUGCUGGACUCAACACCCUCGGCAUCUCAAUUGCGCGCAUCGACUAUGCUCCCUUGGGUCAGAACCCACCACAUACGCACCCUCGUGCCACUGAGAUCCUCACGGUGCUCGAGGGGACACUCUAUGUUGGCUUUGGCACAUCCAACCAGCCCGCCCCCAACAGAAACAAGUUCCUCUCCAAGGUGCUCCACAAAGGUGAUGUGUUUGUCUUCCCCGUGGGACUCUUCCACUUCCAAUUCAACCCCAACCCCCACCAGCCCGCUGUUGCAAUUGCCGCGCUCAGCAGCCAGAACCCAGGGGCUAUCACAAUUGCCAAUGCGGUGUUUGGGUCGGACCCACCAAUAUCAGAUGAUGUUCUUGCCGAGGCAUUUCAGGUGGAAAAGAAUACAAUAGACUAUCUGCAGGCUCAAUUUUGGGAGAACAACCACAACUAA
Molecule: ribosomal RNA, 537 nt
Filed under: Triticum aestivum (bread wheat)
Lineage: Eukaryota; Viridiplantae; Streptophyta; Magnoliopsida; Poales; Poaceae
Description: partial small subunit ribosomal RNA
Source: RNAcentral